Molecule: small nucleolar RNA, 289 nt
Filed under: Yamadazyma tenuis ATCC 10573
Lineage: Eukaryota; Fungi; Ascomycota; Pichiomycetes; Serinales; Debaryomycetaceae
Description: Candida tenuis ATCC 10573 Small nucleolar RNA snR37
Rfam family: Small nucleolar RNA snR37
Source: Rfam by way of RNAcentral
AUCAUCAGUAGUGGUUAUACUAUCUCUUAAUAGAUAUAUAACUUGUACUUUUAGUACAACUACCGAAAGACCCUAGUCGUAUCUUAAGUACACCACAUGAGUGAUUGUGUGAGCUAGGUACGGCGUUCAGCUAAGUGUUUCUUGACCUUUUUAACAGAUUGGCCACAAUUAACACUCCGUUUCCGGUCUUUUAGAAUAGAUAGCACUUUAUGUUUUAGACCAGUUCUGAUAAUGCUGGUGGCGUUGGCGGCCAGCCCAUUUUGUCAGAUUAAUUCAUUGUGCUACAUUU